Molecule: ribosomal RNA, 269 nt
Filed under: Enterobacter asburiae
Lineage: Bacteria; Pseudomonadati; Pseudomonadota; Gammaproteobacteria; Enterobacterales; Enterobacteriaceae
Description: partial 23S ribosomal RNA
Rfam family: Bacterial large subunit ribosomal RNA
Source: RNAcentral
UGUUUCGGCUAGGGGGCCAUCCCGGCUUACCAACCCGAUGCAAACUACGAAUACCGAAGAAUGUUAUCACGGGAGACACACGGCGGGUGCUAACGUCCGUCGUGAAGAGGGAAACAACCCAGACCGCCAGCUAAGGUCCCAAAGUCAUGGUUAAGUGGGAAACGAUGUGGGAAGGCACAGACAGCCAGGAUGUUGGCUUAGAAGCAGCCAUCAUUUAAAGAAAGCGUAAUAGCUCACUGGUCGAGUCGGCCUGCGCGGAAGAUGUAACG